Long non-coding RNA from Folsomia candida, 1721 nucleotides. RefSeq lists it as uncharacterized. The record is from RefSeq and is a predicted model, not a curated record. The transcript has 9 exons. NCBI's taxonomy places the organism in Eukaryota, Metazoa, Arthropoda, Collembola, Entomobryomorpha, Isotomidae.
UCCUCCUCCAAAUCCGAUUUUUUGAUUGGUUAAAAUGUUUAAUUGUCGUAGUGACAAUUUCGCUCAGCCAAUCAAAAAAUCGGAUUUAGAGGAGGACAUAACGAUAACGUGAAGCAUAAACGCACCUUAACUAAUAUAAUAUAAAAAUCUAAUCUUUGAUUUCAAAUUUCAGCGAAUUAGCAUAAAUGCGUGAUUGAAAUGUAAAACUAGGCGAUCCUGUAUGAAGUAUGUAAUCCUUUGAGAUUUAUGUACAGGUUUAAAUAAUUAUAUUAAUAUUAGUAUAAUUAGGUUUAAAUAUAGUGCAUCAACAAUAAUUUUGUACUCGAUAAAGUAGCAAAUUCUGAAUGUGACAACGAGUAAGUGAAAGUUUAUAAAUCUGGGUUUGUGUCAUAGAAAUCCUUUGUUCACCAAACUUAUUAUGCACGAUUGCUUGACUUUUAGUGCCUAGUUACCCUUAAGGGAGACGCGUUACCUAGAUACUUAAGGUCAAGCAAUCGUGCUUAUUAUGGGACAACCUUCUGAAAAUAUUCUGAAAACUCAGGAUGACUUAAGAUUACUAUAAAUAUGGCAGAAGAUAUUCCCGAGGAUUCGGCUGACGCAUCUCUAGUCUAUGAACCUGGAUGGAUUCGAAGUGUCUGGAACAGGGUCUGGUUUGGAACGUCGUCCGCUAGACUUCAGAAUGCUGAAACGAGUCUUCUUCAACACGUUGGGGCUUCUUAUAAUACAAAAUAUGUCAAGGUCGGUCCAAUUUUAUCCGACAAUGACCUAUACGUAUGGACUUUUAGUAGCAAUGAGAACUUGGAAGGUCAUCCAUAGUCUUUCUUCAUGGACUUGGAUCUGGGUUGGGAUUAUGGACGUUAAAUUUUAAAGGAAUGAUAGAAUCACAAACGAGACCCGUGUACGCCAUCGACAUGCCCGGAUUCGGACGAAGCUCAAGACCAGAUUAUAGCUGCAUUCCUGAAGAGGCUGAAAACCGUAUGGAUGUCGACAUCCUGAGAGAAUAGUUCAUAUUAUUUUGGCUGAUCCAUGGGGAUUUAAACAGCCUCCAACUGGGUUGCUGGAUGCACAACACAUUCCGCUGCACCACCGUUAUAUCGCCAAUGUUUUUGCAUGCUUUGCCCAUCAAUCCAUUGUGGUCACUUAGGGUUGCAGGACCAUUAGGACCUCGAGUCUUGAAAAUGAUAAGGGCUGAUCUCAUAAAAAACUUUUCGACCCAAAUUGACGAUGCAGAGACGAAGAUUUCGAACUACAUAUAUCAUAGUAACGCACAAAACUCAACGGGCGAAUCCGCAUUUUAUACUUUAAUGAACAUGUUUGGGUGGGCCAAGAACCCAAUGGAGAUGAGGCUGGAGACUCUUGACGAUAAAAUCCCUUUGACAUUAAUUUAUGGAGGUAAAUCAUGGGUGGAUCAUUAUCCGGCAGAGGAAAUCGUGAAUCGAAGACCAGGUUCUUACGUCAAUUUUCAUAUGUUGGACGCUGGUCAUCACGUUUACGCCGACCAGUUCGAAAGUUUUAACCAAAUAGUGAUAGACGCUUGUCAAGUGGGCGUAGGUGAUGCGGGACGACGUCGACAGUAGAGCUGCUUAAAACUUCGCCUCUCAUUGAGGGUUGGAGAAAACCCCGUUUAAGCGAAAAAUUAAUAAUUUAUGAAAAUUGACCCUGUACUUUGACCUUAUACUUACUUUGAACGACUAAAAUAAAAAUUGUCAGAAUAUUUUAUA